CCCUUAGAUGUCCUGGGUCGCACGCGCGCUACACUGAGUGUCUGAGAUACGAGUCUGCCUGGUCCGGCAAGGUCUAGGUAAUCGCUAAAAGACACAUCAUGCUUGGGAUAGAUUAUUGCAAAUAUUAAUCUUGAACGAGGAAUUCCUAGUAAGCGCAAGUCAACAGCUUGCGUUUAUUACGUCCCUGCCCUUUGUACACACCGCCCGUCGCUACUACUGAUUGGAUGUUUAAGCGAGGUUCUCGAACUGCUAGCGACUUAGCUUCGGUGAGGUCGCAGUGUGGGAAGUGAACCUAGCUUUGGUGUCUAGAGGAAGUAAAAGUCGUAACA
This 329-nucleotide ribosomal RNA is filed under the name uncultured eukaryote. RNAcentral describes it as "partial 18S ribosomal RNA". It matches the Rfam family "Eukaryotic small subunit ribosomal RNA", at positions 1470 to 1796 of the family's 1831-position model. The record is from RNAcentral.